RNAcentral lists this ribosomal RNA (245 nucleotides) under uncultured Pseudomonadota bacterium. RNAcentral describes it as "uncultured proteobacterium partial 16S ribosomal RNA". It matches the Rfam family "Bacterial small subunit ribosomal RNA", at positions 247 to 484 of the family's 1533-position model. Lineage: Bacteria; Pseudomonadati; Pseudomonadota. The record is from RNAcentral.
AGUUGGUGAGGUAAAGGCUCACCAAGGCGACGAUCUGUAGCUGGUCUGAGAGGAUGAUCAGCCACACUGGGACUGAGACACGGCCCAGACUCCUACGGGAGGCAGCAGUGGGGAAUAUUGCACAAUGGGCGCAAGCCUGAUGCAGCCAUGCCGCGUGUGUGAAGAAGGCUCUAGGGUUGUAAAGCACUUUCAGUAGGGAGGAAAAGCUUAAAACUAAUAAUUUUAAGCCUUGACGUUACCUACAG